GCUUGUUGGGCGUGUACGUAUAGGAUAUAUAGUGUCAAUAUCCAAGUUUUCAGGUAUAGAGGCUCAUAAAGAAUUUAGGAAAUAAAUUUUAAUCAGCUUAACCUAAUGUUUAUAAAAAUGGGAGAUGUUCAUGAAAUCUGAUCCAAUAAAAAUUAAAUUCAUUAAAAAAAUUUUUUGUUUAAAUUUAUAUUAAUCCACCUCCUAGCCGGCCGACAACAGCCUACGCCCUGUAAUUAAAACCGGCUCACUGGAUCAACUUUAUGCUAAAUAUGGUGUUCUUUUGUCAGUCUUAUUGAAGAUAUGAAAAGUAGUUUGCAGAAAAUUUAAUUUUAAACCUGCUAUGUGAAUAUAUGUAAUGUAUGGGUAAGGGUAGCUGUAUUUGAGAACAAAGAAACUUCUUCCAUAACACUUUGACGUGGCGUCAUUGUGUGAUUACGUUGACUGCGGGAUAGAUGGACACAUGGCGACAACAGCGGCAGAUAUGCCGUUACUUAAUAUUUUGGAAUCAUUAAAAAAAA
This is a long non-coding RNA of Leptopilina boulardi, 518 nucleotides long. RefSeq lists it as uncharacterized. Lineage: Eukaryota; Metazoa; Arthropoda; Insecta; Hymenoptera; Figitidae. The record is from RefSeq and is a predicted model, not a curated record. The transcript is spliced from 3 exons.